UUUGGGGGGUGGUCUAAGGUGGUUUUGUGCCCUGCAGGGGUCGGGGAGCCGGGAUUCCCGCCUUGCCCCAUGCGUGGGGCAGACCGCUGCUGCCCUUUCCGUGCCGGGCUGACAACCAGAGCGUGUUUUCCAGCGGGGGUGGAGGAAGGCCGGGCCCACGGCGGUGCUAUGCCACAGGGGGCCAAGGGCCAGCUCUGCUUCCCGUGGGGGGGGAAGGGAAAGGCUUCCCACGGGCAGGGGUCACGGGGUAGUACCGAUACCAGGGGCACAGCUGCCCAGUGGCACCUGGCCCAGCCCACCUGCCGGCUCACUUUCCGCUGCGCUCACUAAGCCGCAUGGAGGGAGCGGGGCCCAUUCGCACCAUGGUGGGCAGAGACGUGAACACGUAACUCGUGGGCAGGAGGCGCUGGCGCAGUUCGUUGCAGUGGGGCUCAUCUUUUUCUUCACCGGCGUCCCACCUACUACCCACGUUUUCCCUCGGCAGGCGUCCCUCCUCCUGGAGCAGACAGCUAGUCCCAAAAUACGCCCUGCUUUAAAGAAAUGUUUUCACAUUGUUGAAUGCCAGUUUUUGCCGCUGCUGUUCUGUGUAAUGCUCUGUGGUGCCGCCCAUACCAUACUAGGCAACUUCCACGCAUUCAGCAAGAGGGCCUGCUCCUUGGAUGUCACAGCCUGAGGCCAAAAGGAAAGCAUAAAGUGGAAGCCAAGAAGAAAGAUGGAGAGAACAUAUUUACCCAUUUAAUUUCUCUUAAUUACCCCAAAUGGCUCUCUACUAAUUGGUAUGGAGAUAAGGAGGAAAAAAAAAGCUGUACAACACCAGUCUAGUGGAGUGCCAUUAAGGGGGUGUUCAUUAAAUGGCACCAAAGGAAAAGUGCAUAAAUCUGGGUGAAGGAAGAAAAAGGCCGUGCUUCCCUGCAUACAGCAGCUUACUGUCAAAUAAAACUGGAUCAUAAAAAGCUAAACAUUGACAAUGAUAAGACACGCCUUAGACAAAUGCAAUCUGAGUGCAUGUUGCAUUGUGACAUUACUGUUUUUUGGAUAGAUUUUGAAUGUAAAGGAGUUAGCUAUUGAGAAAAAUGUUUGCUGCCAGUUUAAUGCACCUUUUUUCCCCCCAGUUGCUAGAUAUGGCAUCACUCGAGGCUUUUGCCAUCUGAAGUGCUCUUUAGCACCUGCACACAUGCUACUACAGCAUGCCAGGACACAAGUCACAAUGACAAAGACUUUGAAACAAACUCAAAUUGAGAGACACGAGUAGAAAGCCAGGGCAAAAAUGAGAGGAACAGAAUGAUCAAAAGGACGGAGGAGAAGGGAAAAGUCUCCCUUUGGGCUAAGUCGAUUCAUGCAGACAAUGCAAUUAGGCUGUUGCAACAGUUUACAUGUUUAGCACUGCAGUGUGCAUGUUGGGGGAAGACAAAGAGAAAGCUGCUAUGGGAGGGGAGAGGGAGAGGAACACUUCAGGCUGGUGCUGAAAGGAAGAGAAAGUAAAUCGGAGGAAAGAGAAGAAUUACAACCAUUAGAUAGAAAAAGCAAGCAAGAAGAGGGCAGGAAAAAGCGAGCGAUAGUCUAUCUGUUGCUUUCUUGCAAUGGCUCAAGCCUCAGACAGGAGAAGGAGGGUCAGGGCCAGGGGGUACUGGUUCAGAAGUCAGUAGGAAUCCCUCAGUGGGCACUAGAAUAAAAGCAGACAGCUCCGCAGGCCUGAUUUGCUCUCUCUAUAGAGCAGUUGGUCUUUUCUGCCCUGCAAGAUGUGAGCAGGACACCUGGUACAGCAACUGCCUUGUAGAGGCCCUUUACAGUGGGCCAAGGGAAAACUAACUUCUGUUCAAGGGACCUGUUCAAAAGAGCAAAGCAGCAAAUUGUUCAAAGGAAAAGGAAAGACUCUUCUGGACAGGUCACCAGAUUUUCUGAGUGAACACCACCAGCGCCAGAGCAGUUGCUGCCUGGAGAUUCAAGGGAUAUGGAACGUGACCCAGGCUGCACCAAAACUCAUCUCUAAUGCAAUGACCUGGGGACACAAUCAAUUCCAAUGAUACGUUUUGUGUCUGCUAUACUCUCAUUUUAUUUCCAACUGGCAACAAUAAAACCCCAACAUGUCAAUGCCUUUGUACA
Long non-coding RNA from Alligator mississippiensis (American alligator), 2103 nucleotides. RefSeq lists it as uncharacterized. The transcript has 2 exons. The record is from RefSeq and is a predicted model, not a curated record. Lineage: Eukaryota; Metazoa; Chordata; Crocodylia; Alligatoridae.